UCCGGGAUCGUCCAAUUGGCAGGACACCGGCCUUUGGAGCCGUGAAUCGGGGUUCGAGUCCCUGUCCCGGAGCCA
Molecule: transfer RNA, 75 nt
Filed under: Candidatus Nanopelagicales bacterium
Lineage: Bacteria; Bacillati; Actinomycetota; Actinomycetes; Candidatus Nanopelagicales
Also listed under: 1 other name
Description: tRNA-Gln
Rfam family: tRNA
About the family: Transfer RNA (tRNA) molecules are approximately 80 nucleotides in length. Their secondary structure includes four short double-helical elements and three loops (D, anti-codon, and T loops). Further hydrogen bonds mediate the characteristic L-shaped molecular structure. tRNAs have two regions of fundamental functional importance: the anti-codon, which is responsible for specific mRNA codon recognition, and the 3' end, to which the tRNAs corresponding amino acid is attached (by aminoacyl-tRNA synthetases). tRNAs cope with the degeneracy of the genetic code in two manners: having more than one tRNA (with a specific anti-codon) for a particular amino acid; and 'wobble' base-pairing, i.e. permitting non-standard base-pairing at the 3rd anti-codon position.
Source: RNAcentral